CACUAUGGCCAUGCCACCCCGAAUGUGCCCGAUCUCCUCUGAUCUCGGAAGCUAAGCAGGGUCAGGCCUGGUUAGUACUUGGAUGGGAGACCACGUAGGAAUACCAGGUGCUGUAGGCG
This 119-nucleotide ribosomal RNA is filed under the name Pteropus alecto (black flying fox). Lineage: Eukaryota; Metazoa; Chordata; Mammalia; Chiroptera; Pteropodidae. The record is from RNAcentral.